AGAGUUUGAUCAUGGCUCAGGAUGAACGCUAGCUACAGGCUUAACACAUGCAAGUCGAGGGGAAACGACAUCGAAAGCUUGUCUUUGAUGGGCGUCGACCGGCGUACGGGUGAGUAACGCGUAUCCAACCUGCCCACCACUUGGGGAUAACCUUGCCCCCGAAAGUAAGACUAAUACCCAAUGAUAUCUCUAGAAGACAUCUGAAAGAGAUUAAAGAUUUAUCGGUGAUGGAUGGGGAUGCGUCUGAUUAGCUUGUUGGCGGGGUAACGGCCCACCAAGGCAACGAUCAGUAGGGGUUCUGAGAGGAAGGUCCCCCACAUUGGAACUGAGACACGGUCCAAACUCCUACGGGAGGCAGCA
This 360-nucleotide ribosomal RNA is filed under the name uncultured bacterium. RNAcentral's name for it is "bacterial SSU rRNA". It matches the Rfam family "Bacterial small subunit ribosomal RNA", at positions 8 to 353 of the family's 1533-position model. The record is from RNAcentral.